UUAGUGGAAGCGUCUGGAAAGGCGCGCGAUACAGGGUGACAGCCCCGUACACAAAAGCGCAUGUGCUGUGAGCUCGAUGAGUAGGGCGGGACACGUGGUAUCCUGUCUGAAUAUGGGGGGACCAUCCUCCAAGGCUAAAUACUCCUGACUGACCGAUAGUGAACCAGUACCGUGAGGGAAAGGCGAAAAGAACCCCGGCGAGGGGAGUGAAAAAGAACCUGAAACCGUGUACGUACAAGCAGUGGGAGCACAGGUUUACCUGUGUGACUGCGUACCUUUUGUAUAAUGGGUCAGCGACUUAUAUUCUGUAGCAAGGUUAACCGAAUAGGGGAGCCGGAGGGAAACCGAGUCUUAAYYGGGCGUUAAGUUGCAGGGUAUAGACCCGAAACCCGGUGAUCUAGCCAUGGGCAGGUUGAAGGUUGGGUAACACUAACUGGAGGACCGAACCGACUAAUGUUGAAAAAUUAGCGGAUGACCUGUGGCUGGGGGUGAAAGGCCAAUCAAACCGGGAGAUAGCUGGUUCUCCCCGAAAGCUAUUUAGGUAGCGCCUCGUGAAUUCAUCUCCGGGGGUAGAGCACUGUUU
RNAcentral lists this ribosomal RNA (583 nucleotides) under Salmonella enterica subsp. enterica serovar Infantis. RNAcentral's name for it is "partial 23S ribosomal RNA". Lineage: Bacteria; Pseudomonadati; Pseudomonadota; Gammaproteobacteria; Enterobacterales; Enterobacteriaceae. The record is from RNAcentral.